RNAcentral lists this ribosomal RNA (282 nucleotides) under uncultured bacterium. RNAcentral describes it as "partial 16S ribosomal RNA". It matches the Rfam family "Bacterial small subunit ribosomal RNA", at positions 73 to 354 of the family's 1533-position model. The record is from RNAcentral.
UUUAAUUAACUUUAACGUUAGGGUCGGGACGGGUGGAGUAACGACGUCGGCGACCACGCCGCCGCGGGACGGUACCGCCUGGAAACAGGCGCUAAUACCGCAUAAGCGCAUACAGCCGCAUGGCAGUAUGCGGAAAGCUCCGGCGGCACGGGAUGGGCCCGCGCCCGAUUAGCCAGUUGGCGGGGUAACGGCCCACCAAAGCGACGAUCGGUAGCCGGCCUGAGAGGGCGGACGGCCACAUUGGGACUGAGACACGGCCCAAACUCCUACGGAAGGCAGCAG